GGGUCAGUAGGUUGGUCGUGCCACCGGUACGUACUGGUCUCACUGAUUCCUCCUUCCUGAAGAACCGUAAUGCCAUUAACUUGGUGUUGCGGGGAAACAGGACUGUUACUUUGAAAAAAUUAGAGUGUUUAAAGCAAGCUAACGCUUGAAUACAUUAGCAUGGAAUAACGAAAUAGGACGAUCGAUCCUAUUUUGUUGGUUUCUAGGAUUGACGUA
This 216-nucleotide ribosomal RNA is filed under the name Glomeromycotina sp. Its description in RNAcentral is "partial small subunit ribosomal RNA". The stretch from base 87 to 216 matches the Rfam family "Eukaryotic small subunit ribosomal RNA", at positions 733 to 864 of the family's 1831-position model. The record is from RNAcentral. Lineage: Eukaryota; Fungi; Glomeromycota.